AGUUGGUUUAUUAGGUACACACUGUAGUCAAACUGGAUCUCCAAUCUAAAGUACUACUUUCGCCAGUGACCUUGACACCCAGCUUCGCCUCUCUGAGAUUCAGCUCUUGUUUCUUUAGACACAGAGCUUCUCCGCAACCGGGGUUAGACCCAGCCAGGAAGAAACCAGUGGAGUGCCAUUGCUGAAGAGAGCCAGCAUCCAUUUGUGGGAAAUAAGUAAGGCAAUCUGCACCCAGAUUUGCAGCAUCUGCUUCCUGUGAAGACCUUCUCGUUCAUGACUGUGCAGAAACGUAUCUUGUGACAGUUGAGCCUUCUGAGACAGCGUGACUUCUAACAUUGCAUAUGAAGGUCUUUAUUUGGUAAAGUUUUACCUGGUAGCCCACAUGGAAUGAUGUUAUAGAAAUGAAUAACUUAAAAUAUAUGUGCAUGUAUGUAUGUGUGUGUGUGUGUGUGUGUGUGUGUGUAAAACACAGCCCCAUUUGGGCUUUUUAAAACCACUGCUUCCUGCAUCUUAUGACUAAGCUUACGUAAUUAAGCCAAGAUCACUUUUUCCACUCCACCCAAACUUCGUAAAAACCUGUUGUAAUUUUUCCUUGAUUUAUUUGCUCUUUUGUAUUCCUUUUUUUUUCAAUUUCUCCAGACUAAUGAUUUCAAAUGAAAGACAUUCAGAUCAAUGGUUGACCCAAUGAUUAACUGAUUCUUUUAACACUGUAAAAAGAGAAAUCCAUUACAGGCUGGGGGAUGAAGCGAAGGAGGGAGGGAGUCUCUUAACAGCAGUCUGCUAUAUUUAUAGCUUUGGGCCUUGGCUCCCGAGGAGGUGGUGGAGGUGGUGGGUGGGAGCCAUGGUGGUGGUAAAUGAUACUCAUUUGUAAGCAUCAGCAAUAUUCACCAAGAAAAAUAAAGAAGUGAUUUGUGGAAUCCAUUAAGUUAUAGGCAUGAAUAAUAACUCGAGAGUUAGCAGUGUGGGCCUUUAACAGGUAUUUGAGUUUUAAAAUGCAGUAUACGUUGCAAUUUUCAGGGCAUGUGUCCUAAGUGGUAAGACAUAUGUCAAAAGCUGGUCCAUAAAACAAAACAUUCACACUGAAAACUUUAUUCACUUUGGCUUUGUCUUAACCUUUCUCUUUUAUCCAGGAAUGAAUCAAUCCACUAACAUUUUCAGAGACUGCUUUGGCCCGGCAGUCUAGUAGGGAAAAGGGAAGAAGCAAGGCUUAUCUAUAUAUAGAUAAAACACAAGCCCUCAGGACUUAAGACAGUUCUCUGGGGGCCAACCUUUCCUUUCCUACUGUCUCCACAAAUAUUUCCUAACUCAUUAACCAAAGCCUUCACAUUUGUGGUUGCUCUACUUACCGGAUACGAACGUAAGACACCUGUAUUUACUUAGCGACCAAACUGUCCUUGUAUUCCUGAUGACGAAUACAUCCCACAGUUUUUUUUCUAGAUGAGACUAUUGUAAUGUGCAAGGACAUGACCAGCACCUCUUCAAAUAAUAAUGUUGUCUACUGAUUAUUUCAAUCCAAUAUAGAUUUGAUACUGGAUUCAAUGUUUUAGAUGGUAAUGAUAAGAAACGCCUACUCUUUUCCUGCCUUCUUCUUUUUCUUCUGGCCUCAUUUCACUGUGCUAGCAGGUAUUUGUUUUCAUAAUAGCAGAACCAAAGGACCAUCAUUGGCACAGACUUUGGGGGAGUGGCCAAGUUCCUACAAGCCAUACCCACUUUUUGGCAUACACUGACAUAACAUGUAGCCCACGAAGACACCAGUACUUUAGAAGAUUAAAUGAUACUUCACAGUGAAAACUGUUCCAGAGUCUUUUUCCCAGCAUUCAAUUUUUCAUGGCCAACACUCUUCUGUUCAACUGUCUGGCACCGUGACCCAUGUAUGGUUACAGCCCCAGACUGUGGCAAAAGUAUCAGCUAUUUUACGUUUUCUUUUAACAUAAAAUCUCGGAGAUCUUUGUAAUAGUGAUACCUUGGAGGAAUGAGUGGGCUUCCAUCCAAAGUUUCAGAAAGUUAUAUUUCUAGAAUGAUAAAAUCGUAUUUUUAGAAACUGAAAUCGAGUCGGUUAUCUCUCGAUUCUCAUCUUUCGCUCUGCCUCCUGUGUCUUUGCUGUCUCUUCCAUUCCUGCUUUCUGAACGCACUGGCCAUCGAAGACCGACUUAGCAAGCGAGAAUGUUUCCUCGGUAAGGCUGCCACAAGUGUGGGCAACCUCUGCUGCCAGCCCAGUCCCAAGGCCAGGGUAGUCUCGAGUUUCGCUGACAUUUGCAAACCUUUGGGUAGUUGUCGACGGAGCUAUGAUUACAGAUGGAACUCAUUUGAUAUGUGGUCACUAGUGUCCCAGUCUGGCAGAGUAGCUGAUGUUUAGCUUUGUGUGGGACUUGGGAAGGAGUACAAAGGAGAAAUUGCAAGCCCUGUCCUGAGGUGGGGGCGGGGGGAACCUCAGGUGAAUUUCAGUUGCCAUGAGUCACUUAGCAAACCUUUGGCCAAAAUCCUUAUGAUUCCCUCUUUCCUAGUAGAUGACCUCUUUCCUAAUGGUAAUUUACACUUCAGAUUUUCAGUUUCUCCUGCAAAGGCCCCUUGACUGCUGAGGGAGCUCCUUUUGCUCCUUCAGCCAAUAGCCUUUGAGAUACCAGCCCACUGGGGCGUGGUAUCUUUUGCUUUAAAAUGAGGGCGGGAGCCCUCUGCCCUUGACUUCCAGCACAGCUCCCUUGCAUCUUGAAGCCUAUAGACAGAUGGUUUUGGGCAAUGGCAGAGUCCAACAGAAUAUCGUGUUGACUCAGCGACACAGUGCUGCUUUGCGUGGUGUCUCUGGUCAAAGCUACCAUGGAAGAAAAUGAUUAGUAGCUCUAGUUUUCCUCUUAGCUGUGGGAGUUAGGAGACCACUCUUACCAUUACUCAAUAAUCAGGAUUGACAGCGUUCUCAGAGGCCAAUAGCGACACUUUUCUUACGUCAGGUGAGUAUUUCAACUUGGAAGCCUCACUUGUAAAUGGAUGGACUUCAGAGUAAAGAAAGACUUUAUCAAAGUCAAGUUCAGGAGUAUCUUGAGUUUCUAUCAAGAAAGAGCAAUGAGGGGAGCCCUGAGAGUCUGCGCAGGAGUGCCCUCUUGUCAUGACUCCUGCAUGUGGAGAUUUUGAACCGUCAGCAGUGAAAGAAAUAUCUGUAACACUUAUUCUUCUUCAGUGGCAUCCUCCUUCCAUGAAUUCUGGGUGAAUCAUUAGCAAAGUCAUUCACAUGCUCUGAAGGAGGGGACAUCCUAAUUCCAAAUGCCACAAGUCAUUGGGCUAAGACCGUUCAUUAAAAACUUUUUUUUUCUGGUUAAUUUUAGGUCUGGCCUCAGAUUAUUUCUUAUGUCAGAGGUAUAAGAGGUAGCAGGAAGAAGGGACUAUUAUUGUACGCUGAGAUCUCAGGCCUGGGUGUGGCUUUGAAGUGCUCCCUCCAGACAGCAGCAAGGUGCCAGGCUGAAAGCAUCAGGACUGGCAAAGCUGUGUAUACAAAGCAGAGACUGUCUGUGUUUUUACUGCCCUGGACCAGCUUUUCUUUCGCCUUUGUUUUAACCUCUUUCCCAAUGUACAGUGUACUCUAUUCCUGAUUUUCCCAUCAGAUCCUUCCUCUCUUCCCGAUAGCAAGAGGAACCUUACUGGUGGGCAGAGAAAUGAACAAAAUACAUAACUGAAGUGUGUGUGUGUGUGUGUGUGUGUGUGUGUGUGUGAGAGAGAGAGAGAGAGAGAGAGAGAGAGAGAGAGAGAGAGAGCGCUAUAGCUCCCAUGUCAGGUUCCUUACAAACAACUUCCUGCAGUUUCACUAAAAGCAAAAGGGGCAGGCAUUGUAAUUGAGAUGAAAUGGGUAGGUGAGCAUCUCAACUAAGGUCCCAUGUUGGCCCCUUGGGGGUGGAUUACAAAUGAACAUCUCUUCACUAAUAUAAUUUAGAUUGAAUUGACAACAUUUCCUAAAUUCUACUGGAAAGAAACUUACUUUUUUUUGUGAUUCCCAAUCUAUUGCCUCAGUUCUCACCCCUACACGCGCGUGCGCGCGCGCGCGCGCACACACACACACACACACACACACACACUUCUUGAAAUGUGGUGUCAUGCAUCCCAGGCUGGCCUCAAACUAUGCAGUGAAACACAAAUAGUUCAUCUUCCUGUCUCCAUCUUUUGAGUCCUGGGAUUACAGAUGUGAGCCCCGCAGCGUGGGAGAGAAGCACUCUACCGAAUUAGCUACAUCUUCAGUGCUGUCACAUCUUUUAAAGAAAAUCAUUUUGAAUUUUCCAGAGAGAUAAGAAAUAAAUGGCUUGGCCACGUUGUCUUUUUGUCUACUUAAGCCUUAAAGUUAAACUUCUGUUGGGUCUGAGGGGCAUGGGGGCGGAGUUCUAGAGUUGAUGCUAACAAUAUGGCACAAUUCUUCAACUGUAAGAAAUGGUAGUGAUGAUGAUCAAUAUGUUGACUGUCAUUAUAUGAGACUUAAUGCUGUCUUCUUUCUGAGCAUUGGCUCAUUUGGUCAUGGAAUAAAUACCUUUAAUUAAUUAAUUAGUUAGUUAAGGAUAGUUAGCUUCUCAUGGGCACAUAGGUGCAUGAACCUGAAUCUAUACUCUUACAUUUGCAACGGAGACCUGGGUUGUGCUCCUGAGUAAUGAUAGCACAGUAUUUCACUGAGAAAUGGAGUGUGACUUCAGAGAGGCUGCUGGGAAUUCUUGGUUAUUAUCGUGGGCUUUGUCACUGUGGCUAGGAUGAACAGAUAGAACAGCAUGCCUUAUCACUUGGGACACCGUAUCCUACCUAAGUAAAUGUAUGCUGGAGAAAAGUCAAGGGUUGACCUUCGACUAAGAUGAUCUUUUUUAACAUUUGCAUGUUUGUGUGUGUAUGUGGUAUCUGUGUGUUAUUUGUGUAUGUAUGA
Myodes glareolus (Bank vole) is the source of this 4885-nucleotide non-coding RNA. The record is from RefSeq and is a predicted model, not a curated record. NCBI's taxonomy places the organism in Eukaryota, Metazoa, Chordata, Mammalia, Rodentia, Cricetidae.